GCUCCUGUACGGUGUACAUUUUAGGACAUCGUCAGGUAUCAGAAAAAAAAUUGUCAGGUGUCAGUUGUCAAAAAAAAAAAAUUGUCAGGUAUCAGAAAAAAAAUUGUCAGGUGUCAGAAAAAAAGUUGUCAGGUGUCAGAAAAAAAGUUGUCAGGUGUCAGAAAAAAAAUUGUCAGGUGUCAGAAAAAAAAUUGUCAGGUGUCAGAAAAAAAGUUGUCAGGUGUCAGAAAAAAAAUUGUCAGGUGUCAGAAAAAAAGUUGUCAGGUGUCAGAAAAAAAAUUGUCAGGUGUCAGAAAAAAAAUUGUCAGGUGUCAGAAAAAAAGUUGUCAGGUGUCAGAAAAAAAAUUGUCAGGUGUCAGAAAAAAAAUUGUCAGGUGUUAGAAAAAAAAUUGUCAGGUGUCAGAAAAAAAGUUGUCAGGUGUCAGAACACAAGGUACCAGAGAGAAAAUCUUCCUGCAGGUGGCGCUGUUGUCAUGUCCCACCCGAAUUGAUUUCCAAAUACGUCAUCAACGUGUGACCGUGGGAGAGCGUAAGGUCAUUGACCUCACCGGAGUUUUACCGUGGUUCAGGCUCCUAACGACACAAGGUAAGUUUAACUUUUUCUCCCUUUUGUUCAUAUUUUUGCCACAGUUGUGUUAUAUUAAGUUGCAGUUAUGUUGUGAAAGUUACAUAUCAGAGACGGAAAGCCAGUUUUGUACGAAACCAAAUCAGUACUAUUUUUGUCUGGCUAAUUCAUUCUAGCUAGCGACAGUGGUGAAACGUGAUUCAAAUUUAAACUGUUCAGUAAUUGUUUUGUAUACAUUUCAGCAAAUGGACAAGCUGAAAGCUUACGAGCAGCUUAAAAAAGACCUUGAAAAUGGUGAGAUUACCCAAAAAGGCUUUGAUAACAACAUAAAAAAGCUCCUGACAGCAGAAAAAUCAGAUGACACUACUUCAACACGUGGCAAUGAAUUUCUCAGUGCAGCAGAGGCCUUUGGUAAAGCCAAGAAACUACUACAGCCUCAAGUAAAGAAAAGGCAGUUUCCACUGAAUGAUAAACGUUUGGACCAUGCCAAAUCAUUAUUGAAGGUCAGACUGGCUCCCAUGGAGUGGAAGCCAAGAACUCAUAGAAAGUGUGGACGGUACCAGAAGUUAAUAAUGGACGAAGCUCCACCUCGAAUCAUUCUUCAAGGCCAUGAAACCUAUGAUGAUUUAAUUACCAUAGGCAAAGAACGCUUCUGGCCAGAGCGUACUGAGGGGAGUGAGUUCACUCUUUGCCAUUCUGACGGGACCAGGUGGAGUAAGCAGGAGUUCCACAAAGAAUACGGAACUGUUUCUGAUAUUACACAUAUGUGGAAAAGAACAAUAUACAUCGGGCGACGACAACUGGAGGUCGUGUGUUUGGAUGAUCAAAGUUCCAUCUCAGAUGAAGACCCUGUAACUAAAGUGGGUGGUGAUGAAAGUUGCAGUUUAGAUGAACUUCCUGAAACCCUCAUAGGACAAAGUGUUGCAGAACAGUGUAUCUUCCACGUGUUCCAUAUGUGGAAGAGGCUUUAAUUACAUACAGUGAGGACAAUCUACUGGGAGAAGGAACAUUUGGCAAGGUAUAUAGAGGUUCUUUUCAUGGUACUCCAGCAGCUGUUAAAAGGAUCAUGUGUGGCCAACAAGGGAUGGAGGACAGCGACAUUCAUCAUGAGAUAAAUGUUUCACUGAGACUGUCUCACCCCAACAUCGUCAGACUCAUGGCAGUUGCCCGCACUGAGUCCUGCUUUUUGUUGGCAGCUGAAUACAUUCAUGGCGCAACCCUGCAGCAAGUGCUUCACACAGACAGCUGCUUGGUGAAGCUUGAAGGGGAUGAUGCCGGUUUCAUAUCACUGGACUUAUCCAUGGCAGUAGAGUACAUCCAUGCACAGAGAAUCAUUCACCAGGAUAUAAAGCCAGCAAAUGUCAUGGUUCACCACCCUUCUAAAAAGGCAGUCCUGACAGACUGGGGCAUGGCAAACAUAAGAGACACUGUGAUGCUUCGUCAAGGGAGUAAGUUCACUGCCCAGG
Long non-coding RNA from Astatotilapia calliptera (eastern happy), 2031 nucleotides. Lineage: Eukaryota; Metazoa; Chordata; Actinopteri; Cichliformes; Cichlidae. The record is from Ensembl.